CCAGCACUUUGGGAGGCUGAGGCGGGUGGAUCACUUGAGGUCAGGAGUUUGAAACCAGCCUGGCCAAUAUGGUGAAACCCUGCCUCUACUAAAAAUACAAAAAUUAGACAGGCUUGGUGGCAUGCGUCUGAAGUCCCAGCUAUUCAGGAGGCUGAGGCGGGAGAGCCUCUUGAACCCUGGAGGUGGAGGUUGCAGUGAGCCGAGAUCACGCAAUUGCACUCCAGCCUGGGCAAUAAGAGUGAAACUGUCUCAAAAAAAAAAAAAAAGAAAGAAAAGCCUUCUUGGGCUGACCAAGGUGGUUCAUGCCUAUAGUCCCAGCACUUUGGGAGGCCUGGGUGGAAGGAUUGCUUGAGUCCAGAGGUUCAAGACCAGCUGGGCAACAUAAUGGGACCCCGUCUCUACAAAAAAUUUAAAAAUUACCAUGGCAUGCUGGUACCUGCCUGUAGUCCCAUCUACUCGUGAGGCUGAGGCGGGAGGAUCACUUGAGCCCAGUAGAUGGAGGCUGCAGGUAGCCAUGAUUGUGCCACUGCACUCCAGCCUGGGCAAGAGUGAGACGCUGAAUCAAAAAUAAAAGCCAUCUCACUUAAGGGCCUUCACACUAGGGCUCCAGUGGAAAAGUAAAGGGCCAAAGGGGAGUGAUGAGAAAUGGAUGCUUGGGAGAGAAGAGGCCUCCAACAAGAUUCUUCAGUCUUGGUAUGCCAAGGCUGGACAAUAAGGAGAAUUGGACCCCAACCUGAGUCCCAUUUACCCAUUGUGUACUUUUCACAGAAAUUCCCUAGGCCAUUGGCACCUGUGACAGUGAGAACCUAUACUUGGCCAUCCCAGUAACUGACCUGCUCUCCUGUUGGGAGCUCUACAUGGGACACCGGCACCUGAGCUGUAGGCCAGGACCCCUUGACAUAGUCCUCAUGACAGAUAACUCCACCCAUCUGCUAUUGGCAGUGCAACACUUUUCUCCAGGGGCGCUGUAUGAGGGGGUCCCCCGAGGGCUUAAGCUGGUUGACGGGCUAAGGAGGGUGGAGAGAAGUUGUGCAGCCACUGUCCUGAGCCAUCAAUCACAGGGGUGUGUCACAUCAGACACAAGGAAGUGCCUGGAUGGUCUUGGUGCCCAACAAGUUGCAUUGGCUGUGUCCAAACAGUGGCUGUGGAAGCCCCUCCCAGGCCAGGGGUGCGGGCUUGAGCAAUCCCUGUCCAGUGUUCUCGGGGAGCAGAAUGUAUGGUAUCUAAUACAGUCUACAACAGCAUUUGUGAGGAAUGGCCUGUGUUUGGGUGCAUGUCAUGCCAUUAAAAUCCCUAGAACUAGAAAGAAGUGGCUUCCAGAUCCCAGGCCCCCUGGGUGACUCUCAGCGUCCUGGGCCCCACAGGCCUCAGCUGCCAGAUCUGCCCCAAUGGCCAGGACUGCGUGGCAUCUGUUUCUGAUGAAACUGAACCCAGCUGUGGGGUGGAUCCCAGGAUCUCUCCCUCCAGAGGAUUUGCGCCCAGCUUGAGGUGGCCCCAAAGAAAACUGACAUGCUAGAGACUCCAGAAACCUUCUCCAUGGAUUUACCCCAUUGGGAGAGAAAAGGCCUCCAACAAGACUCUUCAGUCUUGCUAUGUCAAGGCUGGACAAUAAGGAGAAUCGGACCCCAACCUGAGUCCCAUUUACCCAUUCUGUACUUUUCACAGAACUUCCCCAGGCCAUUGGCACCUGUGACAGUGAGAACCUAUACUUGGCCAUCCCAGUAACUGACCUGCUCUCCUGUUGGAGCUCUACAUGGGACAACAGCUCCCAUGCAUUUAUCCCUCUUCAGACCUCACUGGUGAGAAGCUGGGCUUCUGGGUCCCCAUGCUGCUUCAUCCCACCUCCCAACCCUGUCUUCAGGCCCACUGCUGAUCCCAGUCUAGAACCACAGCACCGCCCCCAUCCUGCAUGAAGAAGGCCUUGUGCAUCUGCCUUGGUGAGAUCUUUCCAGGCUGACUGGUCUCUACUCCCUGGGGAGAUGAUCGAGACCAGCUCACACUGCUGUGUGUCACAUCCAUACCUUCUAUGGGAAAACUAACCCCCCUCGCCUCCUAUGUGAAGUCUCAGGCUUCAGAGCCCAUUUCAAAUGCUGUUUCUCCUAUAACCACAUAGCCUGCCAACCACUGGAUCUCCUUUCUUGUUCCUCCCUCUCCCCCAACUUUUUCCUUUUGAACUCUCAUAAUCAGAGCCAUAACCAUUUUCUGCCUUGCACUAGUUACUUGUCCUUGACUGUCUUUAUUUUCCCUUCUGAGCUGACUUUCUUGAAGGCAGGGCCCCCAACCUGAUCACCAUGCCUCAGAUAGUAUCCAGGUUUUGCCUUCAGCCCCUCAAAUAAUACAUAUAAAAAUGAACAAAUUCCAACAUUUAUCCACAACCUACUUGAUGGCCUAAAAAUGCAUUUUAAAUGGGUGUGUCUGAGGUAACUUGUGAAAAGCCCUGGGGUCAGGAGCCAAGUCCUACCUCAAGGAGCAGCAUAAAGGCUUAGUCCAGCCUAGUCCAAGGACUGCCAGGUAAAAUAGAGAACAGGCUUUGAUCAAAAUAUGGUUGGAAACAGGAUGGUUGUGAGAACUAUGGUUGUGUUCCUAGCCUGUUUCCCUAGUGGGAUUGUGGCCAUCUCUUCCAUGAUGGCCACAGACCCUUCCAUUGACAUGUGCAAGGCCGCACUGAAGGAUCGCACCUGCAAGCCAACAGAGUCUAGCAGGAACCAAGCCUUCUUCCGACUUGACGUCACCAGCCGUGGUACCUCAGUGAGGGCUGAUGCUGCUCUGCUACUACUCAGUUAAAGAAACAUUGGCCCAAGAGGACAGGCACAAGGACAGGUGGAAGAAGAAAGCUGUCCUGCCACCAGGAGAUGGCAUGGUGGUAUGGCAGUCCCAGGUCCGAGGUCAAGGGGUGGCUGGGGAACAGAGGGAGAACUUUGAGUAUUUCUGCCUGGGUGCCCUCAGCUUGACAUUCUCUCAUUCAGCAGGGCCUCAGAGAGAGCAGACAGACACUGGAGAUCCAGGCAAGAGUAGCUCAAGACAGCUGCAAAAAAGAGAAUAACCUGCUGGAGGUAGACUUUUACCCUGUCUCCCAGGGUGAGAAGGUCCAAUACCCCUCAUUGGUCAAGAAGCUGGUGAAGUUUGUGGCACCCAGAUUCAAAGAGGUGUAUCCAUACCACCUGACCCAAUCCUGCCUACACUUGGACCCUGAUGGGCAUUGUGGUGGCCAGUACUAUCCAGAGGAGAGAGGAGGAGGUAAGAGCAGGCCCCUAGCCAUGUGUCCAGUAGCAACACUGAGAAGUUCUGCCCCAAAGGUCCUGCCCACAAAGUUCUCUGCACUUUCUCCCUCCAUCCCUCCAAACAAACUCAACCUUCUGAAAGCUGCCUCAAGUCCUGACCAGAUGGCACCCUCCUGCAGAAGUCCCUGAACAGCAAGCACUCUGCAUGUCAUGCCUACAUCUCAGCCUGAGGAACUCUUGAAGAGGCCUUUCCUCCAGAGCUGAGUGAGCUCUAAGAGCUCUUUGGCCAAAAACCCCUGGCUCUUGCCCAUCACACUUGCCUAGUAUGAUAAUUUUCAGGCGUUUUAUGAAACAUUUAACAAGUCUGAUUACCCUUCUAGGAGACAGUCCUAGAAUAGAGGUCAUAUGAACCUAGAUCUUAGUCCUCCUGCCUCAGUGAGUCCCUCACCCCAUACACACCUUGAACUCAGGCCAGAAGAGAGCACUUGACCAUCUGGCUCUGGUUCCAGUGACUCCAGGACUUAUAUGCCCACAAGCCAAAAGAAGAUCAAGAUCUGAGUGGGAACUGUGGAAAGCAUGUCAUGGGAGCCCCUGCCGCCCUUGAAACUCUGCCUUCCUCCUCCUCAAAGAACAGUGCCUGAAGGUCCUGGUUGUGGCCCUGGCUGGCCAUCUUGCUUCCUGGUCACGGUGGUGGCCACUGUGCUGGUCCUGUCCAAGAUGACCUGUACAUCAUUCCAUGAAUGACACGUGACAACAGCUUCCCAGUGUAAUAAGCACAUUUAACCCAGCACUUGUCAGCACUUCCACUGUUCUGUUGGAAGUGUUCUAUCUCACUGAUCUUGCCUCUCCUAAAGCAAGGGACAACUCCUGGCACUCCGCUGCAGAGGCCCUUGAAGCCUGUUGGAAUUUUAGUGAAAUGAGAUGCCUGACUUAAGCCAUGUUGCCUGGCUUCUCAAGUACCAGCAGACCUAUUACUAGCAAGGAAGAAAGCUAGCAGCAAGAAUGGUUAUUGCAUCCUAGAGGCGUUUAGUGGAGGAGAAAACUGCCCUGGUACCGCCAUAGCCCUAAGUGCUGCCCAGAGUUCUGAGCUCUCGAUGAGCACUUGGAACACGUCUGCCUGCAGCCUCCCUACACUUUCUUAUGACUUGUCCUACUUGUCAAGCUCAGCGUGUCCCACUUCUCCACAUGAGUCUUCCAGUGACAUCUUUGUGACCAUCUCCACCCCCUAGGUAAAUGCUCCGCGCUGGGAUUCCGCAAAACACAGUCUGACUUAGAGAUUCUCUGGCAUGACUCUCUUCCCCAUUGUGUACACUGACUGCCUUAGAUGUAGGCCUCUUGUUUGGGGCCCUUCCUGGCCAGACCCUGAAGCAGCCUCUGAGGAGGGUGGUAAGAAUGGUUCCCUGGAGCCCAGUUAUGGAGUCUGUCUCCUUUCCAGAUCAUGCUGUAAUGGACUGAGAUCUCAACUCAGCCCACACUCUUUCCUGGCCUACAUAGCCGUCUCAGAAGGGCAAUGUUUCUCGCUGUUAAAGCGGGUGGUCCCUCUUGCUAACCUAGCUGAGCAUCAGAUACUGGUUAGCUGUAAGGGCUGGGAAGUGGGGGGUGUACCCAUUGGCCUUGGUGAUGAAGACAGCCAGGUCUCCAAGUCCCAGCCGGGACUCCUGCUGGGCCAUAAAGGCUUCAAUAUGCUGGCCUCUCCCCAUUGAGGACCUCAGGCCCCAGUUCAUUAUCAGGAUUUUAGAAAUACCAAGAGCAUCAAAAGAACAGAAAAGAGGCCCUUAAGGGACUACUAAUAAGAUAGAAUUUGCAUGUCCUCAUUGGACUAGAACCUGAACUGCUUUAAAAAGCAAAAGGCCCUUGGUACAAUCUGAUGGAUGUGAGUGUACAGAGAAGAGGAAACACCUCUGAGGGGUGUGAGAGGCCUCAGUAAGGAAGUUGCAAUCUGGAGCCACCUGGGCAGGUCAGAGCUCUAUAAGCAGGAGAAGCCAAGGGCAUAACACAUAGUAGUGCAGGUGUCAGCCAGGAAUCAAGGCUAUGAUAGCUGGAGUCCCAGGCCAAGAACUACAGGGGAAGGAGGAGAAAUGUUUGUUCCCCCAACUCCUAUCUCCUGCCAUGGGGGUGGACUUCUACUAGCUAUGACAUUCCUACCAUCUCUCUGCCUCUUCCCUCUCUCUUUUCUCUCUGCCCCACCCUGGGACACAGUGACUUCCCUGUUGCUAGAGGGAGGGGAUGGUGUGGGUUAAAAAAAAAAACAAGCUGCAUAGCUCAGCCCCUUCCUCUCUCCCCUCACUCUCCUGGGGGUGCCUGCUUUCAGAGUCUGUGCGGCUCUUGUCUCUUCUUACCAUAAACCCUACCUGGGCAGCAGCAGCCGCCGCCCACACCCUCCCCUACCCCCAUGGCAGUGCCUGCCACAUCCAGGACCAUUUCCGAAUUCUGAGGCUCUGUUGUUGGAGUGUCCCCUCUAAGCUGCAUCCUGCAACCCAGUCCUAUUCCCAGAGAAGCCCAGCAUCCCCUCUGGAUCUGCCUGUCUGCAUUACCGUUUGGUUCAAAACCCAGUGCUGGCUACUGGGCCUCUCAGGACACCAGGGAGGCUGGGCUGCGGAGGACUGGUGGGCGAGCUGUCCCCUCCACAUUCUGCUAAUGCCUGGGACAUGAAACUCGUUCCUGCUUCCAUGAGGCUCGUAUCCUUAAUGUCCCUUUUGACUUCAGCUAAUUCUAAGUUUUUGACCCUUGCACCUAAAUUUGGCCCAAGGCAGAAACAGCGGGGAUUGGCUUCUCUGAUGGCUGAGUCACUUGUCUUCCUGUUUUCUCCCGCAUAUUCCACUUCUUGUGGGCGUGAAUUAAAGUAGAACCAGGCAGGCGGCACUCUCCUGUUGGUGACCAGCGUUCCACAGUAAAAUGGGGUGUGACAGCAGCUGGCAGAGCAGCAGCCUGCCCGGGGCUGUGGGCCACAUCCCCCCUCCACCCCAACCAAGCAGCCUGCCCUGCCCUGCCCUGGUGCCAGGCACCAAUCAGCUGAGCAAAACAGGCUGAACUCAGGCCCUACGAGGCCAGGACAGCGCCUGUCAAGAACUCCUAUUCCCUCCAGGGCAAGAAGAGGGAGGACCGAGGCUUGCCCUGAGCGGAGGGGCUUCCCAGGACACGAGACUUUGUUUCAAAACUGAGCCCUGGGCAAAAUGGAGCAAGUUGGUCACCCUAGAGGGAGCUUAGGUUUAAGGAAAAGAAUCUGGGACUCUCUAGCUUUGACUCCAGUCUAACAUAACUCUCUGAUUGUCCCUUUAGUAAAAUAGAAAUAAUGUCAGUCUUGAAAGAAUGUCAUGAGGCUUUCAUGAGGACACAUGGAAAUGGCAGACAUUUGUCUUGCUGGAAGUUUCUCCAGUUUCCCCACCCCUAUUCCAGGUAGGUUGCUGUCCUCAGUACCUGAGGUUUUAUGUGGAAUCACCAUUCUCCUUCCCAUGAUUGUAAGUCAGAUUAUAAGCAGCAUUUGAGUAGAUGGAAAUGUGAUUAGGUCUAUGUCCCUUGUCCCAACAUUCUUUAUGCCAGCUUUCAUUCCCACAGCUCCAGCUGGAGACAUGCACCCCACAACUUAGCUGUGCCUUGGGGUGUCCUGUCUACUGCAGGACGUCUUCAGUGCCCAUAGUGUUCUUCUCCAAAUUAUGUUUCUGAGCCUUUGCAUAUUACAUCACAGGGCUGGGCCCAUGGGACUCCAAUCCGGGAGGAUGGUCCUGGGCACAAAAUUGAAUCUUGAGAUAGGUCUAAGGUUUGCCAUCAGGAUUAAUGAAAAUAAGUGUACACCGGGGAAUGCUUCACUAACUGGAAGUCACUGUUAUUAAACUGAGAACCGGAAGGGCUAGAUCUGGUCAUAAUUCUGUUAACCAACUGCAUAACCUUUAAGCCAGAACCUUUACCUGUAAAAUAAAGGAGUAGAUGAUUUCUCCAGUUCCUUUCCGCUCAAGUGUCCUAUGACUGAUUAAAAUUCUGUGUCCAUUAAGCAACUCAAAAGGAAUUAUGUCUGGCUAUCUGAAAGCUCACAGCCAGCCAAGGAGGAAGUGCACUAAAGGCGAGGCCCGGCUGCUCCCCAGCCCAGCACUGCUCGCUGCUGUGUUAAUUGACAAUGAUGGAACAAAGCACAUUUUAUGAGAGUUCAUGAGUAGGAAGUCCAAGGAGCCUAUACAUUAGUCACGUCUGAAAAUCUUCCUUGCUGGUCCUGCAAGCCAGAGGAGCUGGCCACUGCCACUUGCCCAGAUGAAGGACGUAUCGAUCCAGAAAAGGGAACAGUUAGCCAACAUUGCUUUAUUUGCUCAAUCGUAAUAAAAACUUUUUCCAGGGAGAAAACCCACAUAAAACUAUUGGAGACAGAAUUCUGGAUCAAGUCAGGCCACAACAUAAAAUUACAUGGUAACAGUGGUCUCCAAUUUGAGAGAAGCAGCAUAAUGCGCCCCAAACUCCCACAAAAACCUCAAACCCUUGACUCGGGAAAACAAAAGAAGGUCAUCUUCCAUCGGCCCUUUCCUCCACUCUCCUUCUCCCCAGACUCCCUUGUGCUUGUAUAGGGCAGGGAGGGGGAAGGAAAACAGAUCAGUUACCCCGGGAUGUCAAUCACCCUGUUGAAACUGGUCUGAGUGCCAGACAGACAACCAACAUGGCUCCUGCCUUCAGGGUCCACAUCUUGAAGAGGGAGAGGAACACAGGAAAUGGAAAAACACCCUGGAAUUAGAUGCUGGGCCAGAUGAACUGGAAGUAGUUCUUAAACUUGAGUGUGCCUCAGACUCCCCAGGGGCCUUGUGAAAACACAGAUGGCUAGACCCUACCCCCAGG
Long non-coding RNA from Pan troglodytes (chimpanzee), 8036 nucleotides. RefSeq lists it as uncharacterized. The transcript is spliced from 4 exons. Lineage: Eukaryota; Metazoa; Chordata; Mammalia; Primates; Hominidae. The record is from RefSeq and is a predicted model, not a curated record.